GAAAUUCUUUCUUUCUUAAGUAAAUCUAGUAGUGAGUUUGAAGUGUCAAAGAAAACCUUUUUUUAAAGAUUUAGGGAGACCUGAGAAUGCUUGUUACCAAAUAGUAAAGAGCCAGUGGCAAGAGGGAGAUAGAAGAAGCAUGAGAGAAAGGAUGAUUGCUGAAGCAGAUUCCUGGAAGAGGUCAGACAGCAGGUGAUCCAGGAGGCAGAUAAAAUAAUAUGGAUACUUCCACUUCUCUGACCAGAGAGAAGAAGAAAGAGACUGUUGUUGAGAUUUGAGGAACAGAAGUGGAAAACCAUAGGAGUUCCCACUAGAUUACUAUAUUUCUCAUGGAAGUACAAGGUUAGAUCUUCUGCUGUAAAUAUGAGAGGGAAGGGUGGAAGGAUACUUGGUCCAGUUAUUAGUUUAGGAAAAAAGGAAAGUCAGUUAGGGAGGUGGUGAAGUAGAUAGAGCACUGGACCUAGAAUGGGGAAGAGCUGAAUUCAAAUUCAGUCUCAAAUAUGUUUCAUUUUUCAAUAUACAUGUUUCCUUACAGAUAAUUGGAUAAGCUAUACAUUAAGUUUUAACAAAUCAUUUGAUUAACAUUCUGUAAUUACCCUAUAUACCUUGUUUCUAUACAUUCUAACAACAAACACAAAGCUUUACAAAAGAUGGAUGUUUUCUCAUCAUAGGCAGGAUAGCCAGAGGUCAGUUCUCAUUAACCUGUGAGGUGCUCAGACAUUCAGAGCUGACCUGAGCCAGAUAUUCCUAGAGAUGACAGACUUCUGUCCUUGGUCUUCUCCAUUGAAAAAAGAAGCAUUUGAUCUAUGGAGAAAAAAAAAGGAAAAUAAAAUCCUUGUAACAAAGAUGCAUUGUCAAGAAAUCCAAAAUCUGUGUCUCAUUUGGCAUCUUGCAGCUCUCUAUCAGGAGAACUUGAACUUGGAGAAGAGCAAUGGAGGGGGAAAAAUGUUUAAAGAAAUCAUGACAAAAUAUCUCAACAUCAAAGUCCUGACUGUGCUUAAAGAACAGUCAGAAUCGUCACUAAAGAGAACAUGAAAUUUGAAGGAGAGGAAGAGUAUGGAAAAAAAUCUUGAACCUUCUGAACACCAAAAAGAUAAUGAAGAAAAUGCCAGCUACCAACCUAUCUGUGUCUACUCCCUUUAUACAAAAGUAUGAGUCAUUUAUAUACACAAAUUGAGAACAUCUUCAAUAAUGGUACUAAUAGUGGCUAUAAGGGCAACUAGGUGACAUAGUGGUGAGGGAGGCCUGAGCAGGAAAUUGCCAGGCCUUGGAAGUUAAUAUGUCAAAGGUCCCAGCAGCAGGUACCAGAUAAGAACUUAGGGGCCAUAACUGCCGGCAACAUUCCAACAAUGGUAUGUACCAGAUGAGGACUAGGGGGGCCAUACGUGCUGGAGGGUAUAUAUACCCCAACAUCCCCAGACUACAAGGGGGAACUCACUCGUUUGGCGGAGUUCCCCUGGUGUACACCAGUUCAAUAAACGACCCUCUUGCUAAUUGCA
RNAcentral lists this long non-coding RNA (1499 nucleotides) under Monodelphis domestica (gray short-tailed opossum). RNAcentral describes it as "lncRNA (ENSMODG00000037342.1)". The record is from RNAcentral. Lineage: Eukaryota; Metazoa; Chordata; Mammalia; Didelphimorphia; Didelphidae.